Non-coding RNA from Tinamus guttatus (white-throated tinamou), 106 nucleotides. The record is from RefSeq and is a predicted model, not a curated record. Lineage: Eukaryota; Metazoa; Chordata; Aves; Tinamiformes; Tinamidae.
CUGGACUCAAAUAUGCUCACCAUCAUGAUGCUGGGCAUCCCCAGUCACCUGGAAGGAAUACAUGGGUUGAAGUGUGUUCUAGCCCAUUGCUCUCUUCAAAAUUUCU